ACGUGAUCUGAGUUCAGACCGGAGUAAUCCAGGUCAGUUUCUAUCUAUACGGAGCUCUUUCUAGUACGAAAGGACCGAAAAAGCAUGGCCAAUACUUAAUGCAUGCCAUAGUUAUUAAUUUAUGAUUAAACCUUAAUAAAUAACUAAUCCACCACCAAGCUCAAAAAAAGAGC
RNAcentral lists this ribosomal RNA (173 nucleotides) under Osteopilus septentrionalis (Cuban treefrog). RNAcentral describes it as "partial 16S ribosomal RNA". Lineage: Eukaryota; Metazoa; Chordata; Amphibia; Anura; Hylidae. The record is from RNAcentral.